This 4053-nucleotide long non-coding RNA is filed under the name Homo sapiens (human). RNAcentral describes it as "HSALNT0302954". Lineage: Eukaryota; Metazoa; Chordata; Mammalia; Primates; Hominidae. The record is from RNAcentral.
GUAAAUUGAUUUCCUCUGCGCUGUAAUGCUCAUGAAAUAUGAAGAGUCUUGGUCCAGGGCAUCUCCCCAUAGUACCUGGGGUGUUCUGAGCACACAGGGCACUCUCCACACAUAAGGUGGUGCCAACAGCUGCCGGACACAGGAGAGGCAGCCCAGGCUACUGCAGUCACAUGGUAAUGUCACGUGCCAUAAACACAUAAGAAAGCCAGGGGAUGCUCCCAGGAAGUUGCAGGGUAUCAGCCAGAGUCCCAGAAGGAAGAUGGCAUUCCCAAAGGGUUUAGCUGAAGGGAUUUUAAUGAGGGGAUGAUUUAUAGAGAGGUGGGCAGAUUUCACAGAACCACAAAAGAUGGUGAGAUACCCAGGAACCUCACCAUCCUGGGACUGUGUAUUCAUAGGUUUGUCACCAAAUUUUUGCUAAAACUCAAGGUGCAUAUUAUUGGGGUGCUAUUUGGCAUAGAAAACAUUUGUCCAGGAAAUUUUCUAAUAUCAUGUCAAGUUAAACAUAAUUCAUUGCAAAUAAGAGGUACAAGGCAUAGUAUAAUAGCAAGCUAGCACAAACAAAAUUUGUAGACUUGCUAAAACAUGGGAGAACAGCGUAGGCCAGAAUAACAGUGAUUAAGAGUUCAGGCUCUGGUGCUGGAGUCCCUGGGUUCAAAUCCUUACUAGCUAUGGGAUCAUAAGUGAAUUUACUCAUGUGUAAAAUAGAGGUAAUAUUACUUAUCCCAUAAAUUGUUAUGAGGAUUAAAGGAUUAAAUGCAAUAUUUGUAAGAUGCUUAGAACUUUACUGGCACAUAAAUACUAGCAUUAUCUACAAAAUUAUACUACCCUUCCUCCGUUCACUCAAUAAAUAUAUAGUCAGGAGCCACAUAACAAUGUUUCAGUGAAUGAGGGACCACAUAUACAAUGGUGAUUUCUUAAGAUUAUAGUAUCAUAUUUUUAUGUAUCUUUUCUAUGUUUAGAUGUGCUUAGAUACACAAAUACUACUAUGUUACAAUUGCCCACAUUAUUCAGUACAGUAACGUACUAUAGGUGUUUGUAGCCUAGGAACCAUAGGCUAGACCAGAUAGUCUAGGUGUGUAGCAGGCUACACCAUUUAGGUUUGUGUAAGUAUACUCUGAUGCUCUCAUUACGAAACUGCCUAACAAUGCAUUCUUUAGUAGGUAUCCCCGUUGUUAAGUCACACAUGACUGUGUAUUAAAUAUUUACUAUAGGCAUCAUCCUAGGCUCUGGGGAAAGUGGUAAGAAAAAAAAGACUACCUUUCCUGAUGGACUGGGAAGAAAACAUUAACUAAUAAUCACACACAGAAAUAAAAUCAAAACCAUGAGUGGUGGUGCUUGGAGCCAUAAGAGCUGGUAAUGACUAUACAGGGGUAGGCCUUCUUGAGGAAGUGACAUUUACCUAUGACCUAGAUGAGUUUACUAGGGAAAGUUCAUUAGGUAAAGAUGAGAGGGGGAAAAAUACCAGGCAGAGGAAGCACUAUGUCCUCUGUGGCAGAAAGGAUCAUGGCAGGCAUAUUAGUCAGGACCCAGCCAGGAAAGCAAAACCCACUCUAGGUGAUUUGAUAGAGGGAAUUUCAUACGGGGAGUCAGAGGAGUUGAAAGAGCUCCCAGGGGAACCCUGAGAGUAGCAACUCCAGGAAGCUGGGACUACUGUAUUUGUUUGCUAGGGCUGCAGUAACAAAGUGCCACAGACUGGGUGGCUUCACACAGAAAGUUAUUGUCUCAGAGUUCUGAAGGCUGGAAGUCCAAAAUCAAGGUGUCAGAAGGGGUAGUUCCUUUUGAGGCCUAUGAGGGAAGGAUCUGUUCCACGCCUCUUUCCUUGACUUGUAGAUGACCAUUUUCACCUAUGUCUCUUCACAUCGUCUUCCCUCUGUGUGUGUCUAUCUCUGUCCAAACUUCCCCUUUUUAUAAGGACAACAUUCAUAUUGGAUUAGGGUCCACCCUAAUGACCUCACUUUAAUUCGGCUACUCUAUAAAGACCACAACCCUAAAUAAGGUCACACUCUAAAGUACUGGGGGUUAGAACUUCAACACAUGAACUUGCAGGGGAGACACAAUUCAACCCAUAGCACCACCCUGGAAGCUGGAGAACAAGGAAAGAAACAGUUUCUGGAGCCUAAGACAAGAUAAGCUGGAACAAAGAGGGCCUGCCAAGAUGGGUAGCAGGGAUCACACAGAGAUGGCUGUGUAGUGGGAACUGCAGCCACAGAAGAGACUCCUGAGAAAGAGAAGCAGGAGAAGUACUCUGGCUUCUCCUUCCUUCACCUCCAAUAUCUUUUGCCCUCCCUCACUCCCCAUUGGCUGAACUUUACUGGAAGGCAGUUGGCUCUGGAGCCUGGAACAGCCCCCAGUGACACAGAGCAGAUCGGGGGACCACGGGAUGGGAAGGGUGGACAUGGCUCUGACAGCAACAAUGUAACACCCAUGCAACGAGUCUGCGAGGCCGAAUGGAAGCCAGCUGGCUGCAGGGGAGAGAGCAAGAGAGUCUGGCAGAAGGUGCACCUGGAGAAGGAAGUAGAGGCCAGGCCAGCAUAUGCUUACAAAAUUUGAAGACCACAACCACUCUCCAAAUACAAAUGCAGCAAGUGAUUUGAAGAUCAUAGAAAUGAUAAUACAGGCAAAAAAUGCAAGAAAUCUCCCCUGCCAAAUUAUUCAACUAUGUAUGACUUCUGCCUUUUCACAGCGCCAAUUUGCCAUGCUAUGCGUUUCAUCUUUGCAUCAUUUUCAAUACUGGAUGUAUAAAUUGUGUAAAGACUUUCAGAGUUCUAAUUCAUUUUAUGCAUUUUUUGCAAAUUUGAUUCCAUGAAAGUGCAUUAUCACAUCAUCGACUGUGUGUAAUCAUUGUGUGUGCAUAUAAAAAUGAAGAGAUAAAUGAAGAGAUGUUCGUUUUAUACAUCUGCAUUUGUAAAAUAUAAAAUUUCUUAAGAUCUUGGCUGUUUGGGAGACUGCGUAUGUAGUGGUGACCUAUCAUGGUUUUUGAUCAAUCUUGUCAAAAGACUUAGCUUGUCUGUCAUGGCAUUUCAGAUGAGUGAAUUUCAGAUGUUAUAAAGCUGGGUGCACACAAUUGCCAACCACAGUGAUAUAUAUUUAUACAUUUUGCUUUUUGACAUACUUCUUUAUGAGUAUGGUUUGUCUGCUCAUAAUUUUUAUACUCUUGCAACUGUUGUUAGUAUACCUGAGUGCUUAUGUUUGCAAAUGUAUGUAUGUUAUUAAUGCCUAUUUUGUUGUAUACAAUGGCCUAUGAAGUGUUCUGUUGUGUUUUUAUGUUUAUCAAAUAAAUUCCCCUUUAAAAAUGUGAACACAUGUCUUUACAUUUUUUAAAUUAUUUUUUCCAGAAUUGUAUUUUUGGAAUUUUAGACUUCAAGGAUUUUGAUCUUUUGGGACUUCAACAUCUGGGAUGACAGCAUUUAGGAUUGUGUUUUUCAGGAUUAUGGCUCAAACUCAUCAACAGGGAUGGAGGCUGACAGGUCGAGCCUCCAGUGUCUGGAACAUCACCACUUGCUGUACCAUUCGGUGAGUAUAGAAUUUUGUCCCAUCGUCAGUCAAUAAAAGAGGAGAGUUGAGUGGCAGCAACUGCUUAGAGUAUCAAGCUUCCAUUCACAUGUCACUGGUCAAAGCAAGUCACAUGUCUACUCAGUGAAGUGCAAUCCUACCAUGUAAGCAGAGAAAGGAGAACUGGAGUAUUUGCAAUGGCCUUAAUGACUCCAGUGCUAAUGCUCUCUGUAUGUGUUUAUUAGCCAUUUUUGUUUCUUCCUAUUAAAUUACAUUCAUGACUUUUUGCCCUUCUUUCUACUGUGUUGUCUUUUUCAUGUUAAUUCAGAGAGAUAUUUUAUAUAUUUGAAAUACUAAUCCUUGAUGUUAUGUUUGUUUCAAAUAUCUUCUCUCAGUUUAUUUUUUUACUCUCGUAAUUACAUGUUAUAAUGAACAAAAGUUUAAAAUUUCAUGUAUUCUAAUGUAUGAAUAUUUUAUACUGGUUUUUUGAGCAUUUUGUUACUUAUUAUAAUUUUUCUUACUCGAGUCAUGCAAAUAGUCUAUAUUUUUAAUAACAUUUUA